GGAUUGGGAGGGUUCUACGGAACCCGUUUGGUGAAUCUAGUGCCGAGAAAAGCCUUCUAUGUGUUGAAUUUCUAGUACCCGUACCCCAAACCGACACAGGUGGGUGGGUAGAGCAUACCUAGGGGCGCGUGAUAACUCUCUCUAAGGAACUCGGCAAAAUGGCCCUGUAACUUCGGGAUAAGGGGUGCCUGCGUGAGCAGGCCGCGGUGAAAUGGCUCUGGCGACUGUUUACCAAAAACACAGGUCUCUGCUAAGUCGUAAGACGAUGUAUAGGGGCUGACUCCUGCCCAGUGCCGGAAGGUUAAGGAAGUUGGUUAGCGCAAGCGAAGCUGGCGACCGAAGCCCCGGUGAACGGCGGCCGUAACAAUAACGGUCCUAAGGUAGCGAAAUUCCUUGUCGGGUAAGUUCCGACCCGCACGAAAGGAGUAACGAUCAGAGCGCUGUCUCGGAGAGAGACACGGCGAAAUAGGAUUGUCCGUGAAGAUACGGACUACCUGCACCCGGACAGAAAGACCCUAUGAAGCUUUACUGUAACUUGGAAUUGUGUUCGGACUUUGUCUGCGCAGAAUAGGUGGGAGGCUAUGAAACGUUCCUCGCGGGGAACUGGAGCCAUCGUUGAGAUACCACUCUGGCAGAGUCUGGAUUCUAACCUACGGGGACAGUUCCAGGUGGGCAGUUUGACUGGGGCGGUCGCCUCCUAAAAUGUAACGGAGGCGCGCAAAGGUUCCCUCAGGCUGGUUGGAAAUCAGCCAUAGAGUGUAAAAGCAUAAGGGAGCUUGACUGUGAGACCUACAAGUCGAGCAGGGACGAAAGUCGGCUUUAGUGAUCCGACGGCACUGAGUGGAAGGGCCGCCGCUCAACGGAUAAAAGUUACUCUAGGAUAACAGGCUGAUCUCCCCCAAGAGUUCACAUCGACGGGGAGGUUUGGCACCUCGAUGUCGGCUCGUCGCAACCUGGGGCGGUAGUACGUCCCAAGGGUUGGGCUGUUCGCCCAUUAAAGCGGCACGUGAGCUGGGUUCAGAACGUCGUGAGACAGUUCGGUCCAUAUCCGGUGUAGGCGUAGGAGCAUUGAAAGGAUCUCUCCUUAGUACGAGAGGACCGGGAGGGACGUACCUCUGGUGUACCUGUUAUCGUGCCAACGGUAAACGCAGGGUAGCCAUGUACGGAGUGGAUAACCGCUGAAAGCAUCUAAGUGGGAAGCCCACCUUAAGAUGAGUGCUCCCUUGAGGCCACGGGAAGACGACCCGUUUGAUAGGCGCUAGGUGGAAGUGCAGUAAUGCAUGCAGCCGAGGCGUACUAAUAGGCCGAUGGCUUGUCC
RNAcentral lists this ribosomal RNA (1318 nucleotides) under metagenome. RNAcentral's name for it is "bacterial LSU rRNA". It matches the Rfam family "Bacterial large subunit ribosomal RNA", at positions 1563 to 2925 of the family's 2925-position model. The record is from RNAcentral.